CAAACAGCGAAGACAGCAACUCCCAUGAUCCCAUGCUUCUUCACGACAUCAUCAAGAUUCUCUUCGAGGGAAAAUUCCCCUUUUCUCCAUUUCCCAUCGGCCAGCUUGUAACUCAAAAAGACACGCUUUAUUACACUUUGGAGGCGUCAGGCAGCAGUGGGCAGCAUGAAGAUCACCGGGAGUAGAGUAAGCAGCAGCUGUGGAGAUGGACCCCCUGUCAGUGGCAAAUUCAGCCAAAGAAAACCCCAGCUCCGUUGGACGGGUCAGCCCCGACUGCCUGCUGGAUCAGCUAACAGGAUAAAAUCGUGGCUUCAGCCUCAGAAAUGUUGAUCUUCAUCCUGGCCAUGUUGCACUGGUGCAAACCCCUACAGAUUACAGGUGGCCUCUCACCAACUGUUCCCCUGCAUGGAGCUCACAGUCCUGCAGCAGUAGUGUCUUAAGUGCCUCAGGAUAACGGAGAGAGAGUAACAAGGGCAAGGAGGCGCUGAGCGAAGCAAUACAC
Long non-coding RNA from Epinephelus fuscoguttatus (brown-marbled grouper), 502 nucleotides. RefSeq lists it as uncharacterized. The transcript is spliced from 6 exons. The record is from RefSeq and is a predicted model, not a curated record. Lineage: Eukaryota; Metazoa; Chordata; Actinopteri; Perciformes; Serranidae.